This is a long non-coding RNA of Neodiprion fabricii, 291 nucleotides long. RefSeq lists it as uncharacterized. The record is from RefSeq and is a predicted model, not a curated record. NCBI's taxonomy places the organism in Eukaryota, Metazoa, Arthropoda, Insecta, Hymenoptera, Diprionidae. The transcript has 2 exons.
AGUACUGCAGUAAUAACGAUUUUUUUUCUGAUGGAAAUAAAAGAAAGACCUUCACGUCGCAGGCGUACCUGAUUUGUUGGCAUAUUCUCCAUUGGCCAAAGUUGGUAGUUCAAGUCCACAUCGACGCAUAGUUAUAAAAUGAGUAACGGCUUACUUUUUCAUCGCUCGUUGUGUGACAAGUUUCCAAUCGAUUCCUGGAGGUACCUUCACUGAAAUAAUCGUACGCAAACGAUUCUCCGGAUUUGAAAUAAAGAAUUCCAAACCACGGGCAGCAAGGCGCUUUUCCAACCU